Long non-coding RNA from Equus caballus (horse), 2047 nucleotides. The record is from Ensembl. Lineage: Eukaryota; Metazoa; Chordata; Mammalia; Perissodactyla; Equidae.
GUGAGGAGAACUCUUUCCAGCUGGGCAGUUCCCUCUUGUGCUGAGAAAUGCUAGCUUGGGGGAUGGGAUGAGGCAGGCAAAAUGAAGCUGUCUUCCUUCUCUUCUUGUGUGGUUAUUCUCAGGGUUUUUUGUUCUGCUGUGUUGCUGGAAUUUCUUAAGUGGGCCCCAGAGCUUUCCCAGAGCUGUUUUUGUUCCUGGAUAGCUGUCUAAUUGUUGAUCUUUGUGGGGAGACAGAGGCUGGGGUCUCCUACUCUGCCAUUUUGGUGACUUCACCUCAGAAAUGCUUUAGUUGUAUGCACAAUGCUCUUUAACAUGUCUUUGUAAAUUUAUUCCUGGUUUUUUAAUUUUUUUGAUAAUCAUAAAUUUAAGUUACUAAAAAAAUUUAUUUUUCUUAAUGUUUGUUGCUGGUGUAUAUAAAUAUAAUUUUUUUUCUGUGUUGAUCCUGUAUUCAGUAACUUUGCUAUACUCGCUAAUUCAAUAAUCUAUCUAUAGCUUAUUUGUGUUUUCUAGGUAUACAUCAUAUUAUUUGCAAAUAACAAAAAUUUUAUUUCUUCUUUUCCUACAUUUAUAAAUUUUAUUUUAUUUAUUUUUGCCUCGCUGCAUGGCCUAAGACCUGAGUAAAAUGUUUAUUAGAAGUGAUGACAGCAGGCAUUAUUGUCUUAUUUCUAAUCUCAGAGGGAAAGCAUUUGGCAUUUCACUAUUAACCAUCCUUGUGAGCGUGAAGUGGUAUCUCAUUGUGGUUUUGGUUUGCGCUUCCCCAGCAAUUGGAUAUAAUUAGCCCUGAGCUAACAUCUGCUGCCAAUCCUCCUCUUUUUGCUGAGAAAGACUGGCUCUGAGCUAACAUCCGUGCCCAUCUUCCUCUACUUUAUGUGGAAUGCCUGCCACAGCAUGGCUCAACGGGCGGUCUGUAUGUUCACAACCGGGAUUCAAACCAGCGUACCCUGGGCUGCCGAAGCAGAACGUGCAAACUUAACCACUGUGCCACCAGACGAUCCCAACCCUCCUGCUUUUUUUUGGGUUUAAAUUUCAUCUAUUUUUCUAAUUCUUGAAAUGGAUGCUUAGAUAAUUGAUUUUCAGCAUUUUUCCUUUCUUAUAUACAUUUAAAGAUAUGACUAUCCAUUAAAGCAUGGUUUAACUGCAACUUACAAUUUUCAAAGUAUAAUAUUUUAAUAAUUAUUAGUUCACAUAUUUUUUGUUAUGAUAUUUUCUUUAACAUAUACUUGACUUAUAGUGCAUUUCUUAAUUUCUCUUUAUUUCUUAAUAUGUAUUAAUUUCCAAAUAUGUGGUGAUCUUUAGUUAUCUAUCUCUUGUUAAUUUCUCACUUAAUUGCACUGUGGUACUGGACAUAUUAUAUACCAUAUCAAUCUUUUGAAAGUUUUUGAUAUUUAUUUCAUAGCAUAGCUUAUAAUCAAUUUUUUGCAAAUGUUUUAUACACAGUUGACAGUAAUAUGUAUUCUAUAGCUAUUGAGUGCAAUCUAGUAUGUCAUAUUUGUUAAUUGCAUUGUUCCAAUCUUGUAUCUUUUAUAUUUUUCAUCUACUUAAUCUAUCAGUUAAUGAGAAAAGUUGUUAAAAUGCUCAGUGUGAUUGUCGAUUUGUCUAUUUCUCCUUAGAGUUCUAUCACUUUUAGCUUUAUAUAUUUUGAGGAUUUGUAAUCAGGUGCAUACACAUUUAAAAUUUUUAUCUUCCUAGGGAAUUAAAUCAUUGUGAAAGUUUCCUCUUAAUCCAGAGUAAUGGUUUCUACAUUUUGUCUACUUUGUCUGAUAUUAAUAUAGUUACAACCACUUUCUUUUGGCUAAUGUUUGUGUUGUGUAUUUAUUUUGCGUCCCUUUAUUAUAAACCUUUUAAUCCUGUUUCAGUUAUCCAUCCAUGAGUAACAAACCACCCCAAACCUUAGUGACUUAAAAACAGCAAUGUGUUCUCUAUCUUGGUUCUGUGGUUGAUUUGGCUCAGCUCAGCAGUUUUCAUUUAGGAGGGGAUCGCUCAUGUAGCUGCAGACUUACGGUAGCAGUUGCUGGAAUCAUGUGAGGGCUUGAUUUGGCUGGAUAGC